Molecule: transfer RNA, 74 nt
Filed under: candidate division TA06 bacterium DG_78
Lineage: Bacteria
Also listed under: 1 other name
Description: tRNA-Met
Rfam family: tRNA
About the family: Transfer RNA (tRNA) molecules are approximately 80 nucleotides in length. Their secondary structure includes four short double-helical elements and three loops (D, anti-codon, and T loops).
Source: RNAcentral
GGGCCUGUAGCUCAGUUGGUUAGAGCAGCUGACUCAUAAUCAGCCGGUCGCCCGUUCGAGUCGGGCCGGGCCCA